This 102-nucleotide signal recognition particle RNA is filed under the name Faecalibacterium cf. prausnitzii KLE1255. RNAcentral's name for it is "Bacterial signal recognition particle RNA". It matches the Rfam family "Bacterial small signal recognition particle RNA". Rfam says of the family: The signal recognition particle (SRP) is a universally conserved ribonucleoprotein involved in the co-translational targeting of proteins to membranes. Archaeal SRP consists of a 7S RNA and homologues of the eukaryotic SRP19 and SRP54 proteins. In most bacteria, the SRP consists of a 4.5S RNA and the Ffh protein (a homologue of the eukaryotic SRP54 protein). The record is from RNAcentral. Lineage: Bacteria; Bacillati; Bacillota; Clostridia; Eubacteriales; Oscillospiraceae.
GAUGCGGGUCCUGUACGAUGGAUUCGCUGUGAACCAGGUCAGGUGGGGAACCAAGCAGCCUUAAGCAGUGCGUUCGUGCGUUUCAGUAAGCCUGCAUCCGUA